UCUUGGUCCAAUUUAGAGGAAGUAAAAGUCGUAACAAGGUCUCCGUUGGUGAGACCAGCGGAGGGAUCAUUACCGAGUUUACAACUCCCAAACCCCUGUGAACAUACCUAUUUGUUGCCUCGGCGGUGCCUGUUCCGACAGCCCGCCAGAGGACCCCAAACCCUGAUUACAUUUAAGAAGUCUUCUGAGUAAACCGAUUAAAUAAAUCAAAACUUUCAACAACGGAUCUCUUGGUUCUGGCAUCGAUGAAGAACGCAGCGAAAUGCGAUAAGUAAUGUGAAUUGCAGAAUUCAGUGAAUCAUCGAAUCUUUGAACGCACAUUGCGCCCGCUAGUAUUCUGGCGGGCAUGCCUGUCCGAGCGUCAUUUCAACCCUCAAGCCCCCGGGCUUGGUGUUGGGGAUCGGCGAGCCUCCGCGCCCGCCGUCCCCUAAAUCUAGUGGCGGUCUCGCUGUAGCUUCCUCUGCGUAGUAGCACACCUCGCACUGGGAAACAGCGCGGCCACGCCGUUAAACCCCCAACUUCUGAACGUUUGACGUUCGGAUCAGGUAGGAAUACCCGCUGAACUUAAGCAUAUCAAUAAGCGGAGGAA
Molecule: ribosomal RNA, 589 nt
Filed under: uncultured fungus
Lineage: Eukaryota; Fungi
Description: eukaryotic LSU rRNA
Rfam family: 5.8S ribosomal RNA (bases 211-364)
Source: RNAcentral